AGUCAUGGGAGUCGGUUCUGCCUGAAGGUAGUGCGCUAACCGCAAGGAGGCAACUAACCACGGUAGGGCUGGUGACUGGGACUAAGUCGUAACAAGGUAGCCGUUUCGGAAGGAGCGGCUGGAUCACCUCCUUU
This 134-nucleotide ribosomal RNA is filed under the name Flavobacteriales bacterium. RNAcentral describes it as "partial 16S ribosomal RNA". It matches the Rfam family "Bacterial small subunit ribosomal RNA", at positions 1400 to 1533 of the family's 1533-position model. The record is from RNAcentral. Lineage: Bacteria; Pseudomonadati; Bacteroidota; Flavobacteriia; Flavobacteriales.